This 23-nucleotide small nuclear RNA is filed under the name Arabidopsis thaliana (thale cress). RNAcentral describes it as "snRNA_02980". The record is from RNAcentral. Lineage: Eukaryota; Viridiplantae; Streptophyta; Magnoliopsida; Brassicales; Brassicaceae.
UAACCUCAUCAAGUAGAAGGAUU